This 358-nucleotide transfer RNA is filed under the name uncultured Microcystis sp. Its description in RNAcentral is "partial 16S-23S ribosomal RNA intergenic spacer". The stretch from base 133 to 206 matches the Rfam family "tRNA". The record is from RNAcentral. Lineage: Bacteria; Bacillati; Cyanobacteriota; Cyanophyceae; Chroococcales; Microcystaceae.
AAGGGAGACCUAAUUCAGGUAGGAGACGAAAAAAAAGUAGUCCCAACCAAGAAUCAAUCCCAAAAGGUCGGAACGAGGUAUGAGGCUUUCAAACUAGGUUCUGGGUUCAUAAAAGACCUGAAUCAGGAACAAGGGCUAUUAGCUCAGGUGGUUAGAGCGCACCCCUGAUAAGGGUGAGGUCCCUGGUUCGAGUCCAGGAUGGCCCACCUGCACAGGUGGCAAAAACAAGAGAAGCUCCGAAUCAGCACCUUAUCUUAUAUACAUAUAUAAGAGAGAAUGCUGGCUCUGAGUACAGAGUCCAGAGGAACCUUGAAAACUGCAUAGAGCUAGGUGAAAAAGCCAAAAAAGAAGACCGCAA